CCUACGGGUGGCAGCAGUGGGGGAUAUUGCACAAUGGGGGAAACCCUGCUGCCUCUCCUCCUCUUUCUUGAAGAAGUAUUUCGGUAUGUAAAGCUCUAUCAGCAGGGAAGAAAAUGACAGUACCUGACCAAGAAGCCCCGGCUAACUACGUGCCAGCAGCCGCGGUAAUACGUAGGGGGCAAGCGUUAUCCGGAUUUACUGGGUGUAAAGGGAGCGUAGACGGUUAUGUAAGUCUGGAGUGAAAGCCCGGGGCCCAACCCCGGGACUGCUUUGGAAACUGUGUAACUGGAGUACAGGAGGGGCAGGCGGAAUUCCUGGUGUAGCGGUGAAAUGCGUAGAUAUCAGGAGGAACACCGGCGGCGAAGGCGGCCUGCUGGACUGAAACUGACGUUGAGGCUCGAAAGCGUGGGGAGCAAACAGGAUUAGAUACCCUUGUAGUC
This 440-nucleotide ribosomal RNA is filed under the name uncultured bacterium. Its description in RNAcentral is "partial 16S ribosomal RNA". It matches the Rfam family "Bacterial small subunit ribosomal RNA", at positions 338 to 795 of the family's 1533-position model. The record is from RNAcentral.